GACGAACGCUGGCGGCGUGCUUAACACAUGCAAGUCGAACGGAAAGGCCCUGCUUUUGUGGGGUGCUCGAGUGGCGAACGGGUGAGUAACACGUGAGUAACCUGCCCUUGACUUUGGGAUAACUUCAGGAAACUGGGGCUAAUACCGGAUAGGAGCUCCUGCUGCAUGGUGGGGGUUGGAAAGUUUCGGCGGUUGGGGAUGGACUCGCGGCUUAUCAGCUUGUUGGUGGGGUAGUGGCUUACCAAGGCUUUGACGGGUAGCCGGCCUGAGAGGGUGACCGGGCACAGUGGGAGAGGGGAGGCAGCAGGAGGCAAACGUGGGCAAGGGGUGGAAGAUUGUCCAAGAGGGGCGGAGUGGUUGAGGAACGACGCCGGGUGGGAGAAGACGGUUUUUGGGUUAGAAAACGUGUUCGCGUGUACAGAAGCGUUGGGACGGGAAAUAAGUAAAAAGGCACGGGUAAAUUAGGG
This 467-nucleotide ribosomal RNA is filed under the name uncultured bacterium. Its description in RNAcentral is "partial 16S ribosomal RNA". It matches the Rfam family "Bacterial small subunit ribosomal RNA", at positions 28 to 507 of the family's 1533-position model. The record is from RNAcentral.